AGGGGUUCUCGUCUGUGUGUGUGUGUGUGUACGUAGGGGUUCUAGUCGGUCGACCGUGUGUGCGCGUACGUAGGGGUUCUAGUCUGUCGACCGUGUGUGCGUGCACUUAGGGGUUCUCGUCUGUGUGUGUGUGUGUACGUAGGGGUUCUAAUCUGUCAAUUGUGUGUGUGUACGUAGGGGUUCUAGUCGGUCGACCGUGUGUGCGCGUACGUAGGGGUUCUAGUCUGUCGACCGUGUGUGCGUGCACUUAGGGGUUCUCGUCUGUGUGUGUGUGUACGUAGGGGUUCUAGUCGGUCGACCGUGUGUGCGCGUACGUAGGGGUUCUAGUCUGUCGACCGUGUGUGCGUGCACUUAGGGGUUCUCGUCUGUGUGUGUGUGUGUACGUAGGGGUUCUAAUCUGUCAAUUGUGUGUGUGUACGUAGGGGUUCUAGUCGGUCGACCGUGUGUGCGCGUAUGUAGGGGUUCUAGUCUGUCAACCGUGUGUGCGUGCACUUAGGGGUUCUCGUCUGUGUGUGUACGUAGGGGUUCUAAUCUGUAAAUUGUGUGUGUACGUAGGGGUUCUAGUCGGUCGACCGUGUGUGCGCGUACGUAGGGGUUCUAGUCUGUCAACCGUGUGUGCGCGCACUUAGGGGUUCUAGUCGGUCGACCGUGUGUGCGCGCACGUAGGGGUUCUAGUCGGUCGACCGUGUGUGCGCGCACGUAGGGGUUCUAGUCGGUCGGCCGCGUGUGCGUGCACGUAGGGGUUCUAGUCUGUCGACCGCGUGUGCGCGCACGUAGGGGUUCUAGUCUGUCGACCGCGUGUGCGCGCACGUAGGGGUUCUAGUCUGUCGACCGCGUGUGCGCGCACGUAGGGGUUCUAGUCUGUCGACCGCGUGUGCGUGCACGUAGGGGUUCUAGUCUGUCGACCGCGUGUGCGUGCACGUAGGGGUUCUAGUCUGUCGACCGCGUGUGCGUGCACGUAGGGGUUCUAGUCUGUCGACCGCGUGUGCGUGCACGUAGGGGUUCUAGUCUGUCGACCGCGUGUGUGCACGUAGGGGUUCUAGUCUGUCGACCGCGUGUGCGUGCACGUAGGGGUUCUAGUCUGUCGACCGCGUGUGCGUGCACGUAGGGGUUCUAGUUUGUCGGCCGCGUGUGCGUGCACGUAGGGGUUCUAGUCUGUCGACCGCGUGUGCGUGCACGUAGGGGUUCUAGUCUGUCGACCGCGUGUGCGUGCACGUAGGGGUUCUAGUCUGUAGACCGCGUGUGCGUGCACGUAGGGGUUCUAGUCUGUCGACCGUGUGCGCGUGCACGUAGGGGUUAUAGUCUGUCGACCGUGUGCGCGUGUACGUAGGGGUUAUAGUCUGUCGACCGUGUGCGCGUGUACGUAGGGGUUAUAGUCUGUCGACCGUGUGCGCGUGUAC
This 1400-nucleotide long non-coding RNA is filed under the name Oncorhynchus mykiss (rainbow trout). RNAcentral describes it as "lncRNA (ENSOMYG00000077365.1)". Lineage: Eukaryota; Metazoa; Chordata; Actinopteri; Salmoniformes; Salmonidae. The record is from RNAcentral.